RNAcentral lists this non-coding RNA (29 nucleotides) under Mus musculus (house mouse). Lineage: Eukaryota; Metazoa; Chordata; Mammalia; Rodentia; Muridae. The record is from RNAcentral.
UGGGCAAUGACACCGUGUCUUUGGCACCA